CAACCAAUCAAGCCUCGGCUUGGUCUUGGGGUUUGCGGUCCCGCAUCUCCUAAACUCAGUGGCGGUGCGAUUUAAGCUCUGAGCGUAGUAAUUUUUCUCGCUAUAGGGUCUUGGUCGUUACUUGCCAGUAACCCCCAAUUUUUAUCA
RNAcentral lists this unclassified non-coding RNA (147 nucleotides) under uncultured Helotiales. RNAcentral's name for it is "sequence contains ITS2". Lineage: Eukaryota; Fungi; Ascomycota; Leotiomycetes; Helotiales. The record is from RNAcentral.